CCUUCGGGUCGCCGGAGCAGCGUCUCUACUGCCGCCUUUCUCGCCCUUCCGAGGGCUGGCCCCGCGCUCCCGGGCCUGAGGGACCCAUGCCGGGCUCGCGGCGCCGCCCACAGACCCCGACGGGGCCUUCCGCUCCGCCUCGGCAACCGGUACGUCGAGGACAGCCUGCCGUAGAUCUUGCUGAGGAGACGCUUGAAGGCCCAGGUGUUUACUGAAGUGAGAAAGGAUUUGCAGCUGUUUGGAGCCUGAGUGGCAGAUGAAACCGACUUGGAGACUUCUGGGGUACAUAUGAGUUACAACCCAGAGGCUGCUGCAUGAUGCCCAGAUAGCACACAGGCCACCUCCACACUCGGAGAGCUGAGGAGAUCUCAGGUAAAGGGUCCCUAAUCACUGAGUGAUGAGGCUUGUGAGAGAACAUACACUGACUGGUGGGGAGGCCUUGCUGGAGGUUUCAACUUCAAAAGCCAGGCUGGGAUUACUCAGUUGCUCUUCCCCCUACCUCCUGAGGGACCCUAAAUUGUAUUUAAGCAGACCCAUGUCCCUACCUAUAACUGAGUAUGCCAGAGGAAUUCAGCCAUGCCUCUCUACGUAAGCUAUAAAGAACUAAUUAACCACAC
Callorhinus ursinus (northern fur seal) is the source of this 617-nucleotide non-coding RNA. The record is from RefSeq and is a predicted model, not a curated record. Lineage: Eukaryota; Metazoa; Chordata; Mammalia; Carnivora; Otariidae.